This 425-nucleotide long non-coding RNA is filed under the name Nicotiana benthamiana. RNAcentral describes it as "long non-coding RNA (NBEN_LNC040662)". The record is from RNAcentral. Lineage: Eukaryota; Viridiplantae; Streptophyta; Magnoliopsida; Solanales; Solanaceae.
GAAUUUGAACACAAUAAACUUAACCUGCUAAUCGAACUGGAAUCGAUCUGUUGAAGUUUACUAAAUCGAACUACAACAUAUGAAUCUGUAAGCGUUCCAGCAAUUUUACAAUUCGGAUGAACAGUAAAAUCUUUAGAUCCAAGAUCCGUUGCGAUUGUUUUAUGUUUUUGGGAUAAAAACAAAGGAAAUAAGUUCACGACCAGAAGGAGAAUGUCGUGGAGCUAAAUAUAUGAUUACUCGAUAUCAGAUUCCGGCUGAAAUGCAGAAAUCGCCGAUGAACAGUACAAUAUCACUGUUCACGCAUGCUACAGUACUUCACUAUUCUGGAGAGAUUUCUCGUCAAUUUAUGGCUGAAAUGCAGAAAUCGCGGAUGAACAGUACAAUAUCACUGUUCACGCAUGCUACAGUACUUCACUAUUCUGAUC